RNAcentral lists this small nuclear RNA (282 nucleotides) under Equus caballus (horse). RNAcentral describes it as "7SK RNA". It matches the Rfam family "7SK RNA", at positions 3 to 251 of the family's 331-position model. From Rfam's summary of the family: 7SK was discovered as an abundant small nuclear RNA in the mid-70s but a possible function has only recently been suggested. Lineage: Eukaryota; Metazoa; Chordata; Mammalia; Perissodactyla; Equidae. The record is from Rfam by way of RNAcentral.
ACGUGAUUUUUAUUAAUUUUGUUAAUGUUGUCACCUCGUUGAUUGCCAGGGUUGAUUCGGGUGAGUUGGCUGGCUAGACUGCUGUCCCCUCCCUUCCUCCCUCACCACUCUGCACGCAUCCCUCCCAGAGCUCCGAGCUCUGUGGAAGACAACUGUUCUUUAGUCAAGGGUGUAGGAGCAGCUGCGCUUCCCUGCUAGAACCACCAAACAAGUUUUCAUUUCUUUAGUCAUCCAUUCCCCCCACCCCCAUUCAGUCAUCCAUCCACCUAGCAAAUAUUUAUU